Molecule: long non-coding RNA, 834 nt
Organism: Zingiber officinale
Lineage: Eukaryota; Viridiplantae; Streptophyta; Magnoliopsida; Zingiberales; Zingiberaceae
Exons: 6
Source: RefSeq, a predicted model, not a curated record
GCAUUGCUAUUGCACGCGGGCGGCGCGGCGUGCGCGCUGCGCCAUCUGUCUGCGCCUCCUAAUUUCCCCUCCGCGCCACCGCCACGUCUCGCCGUGAAACAGGACUACAGAAUGUCUCUUGUUGAAAUGUCAAGUUUUUCAAACGUUUUUUGAUCGGAGUUUAACUUCUGAUGGUCCCAUGGCUACAGAUUGUUAAAGUAUCAAUUUUCUAUUGCAUACAAAUAUUGAUUCACAGAGAUUGAGAUUUAUGUUCUGUUAGAUACUUCUUUGUGGCUAUAGUGUUUAUUCGGUUUAAAAGGAGCAUGCCGACCCGACAAUCUCACUACAACUAAUUCUGUAAGGCCAAAGAAUUCCGGAGAGCCAGAUCUUUUCUGCAGGAUGAUGAUGAAUUGAUAAAACAAAUGGGAGUUUUCAGUGACGAGAGAGGCCAUUCAAACUCUGGGAAUGCAAACUUUCAAAUUCCAUGCCAAACUAAUACUGCACAAGGAAGCUUCAUUGAUUCUUUUAACUUGAGACUUUGAUUGAAUCCCAACAAACCCCCCUCAAAUGAAGGAUUACAAUUACUCUUACAGUUCGGGCCUACUCACGAGCAUUUGGUCACCCUGACGUGCUUUGAGCCUCCCUACAAUCAUCCACAUCCGAUUACCUUGAUCUACUCUAGGCCUCUCCCACAAGAGAGCCUCAACUCUCCCCCUUUUGGGUUCAACUUCAAGGAGCUAAAUUUGACUCAUGGAGCAGUCUGAUGAGGCAGAGAGAUCUUGUGGGCUGACCGCCACUGCAGAACCCUAAUGUUAAAAAAACUUGAGGAGUACAAAUAAUUUGUAAUUUUUUAAA